This 103-nucleotide small nuclear RNA is filed under the name Macleaya cordata. Lineage: Eukaryota; Viridiplantae; Streptophyta; Magnoliopsida; Ranunculales; Papaveraceae. The record is from RNAcentral.
GUCUUUUCGUAGACAUCUAAUAAACUUAGAACGAUAUAGAGAAGAUUAACAUGGUCCCUGCGCAAGGAUGACGUGCAUAAUUCGAGAAAUGGUCCAAAAAAAU